CCUCUGCGGGCUGUGAGCUUCAGGAGGACGGGCUGCAGCCUCCUGUUCAGAGCCAGCCUGGGGCCUGAAAUGGAGCCUUGGAAGCAAAGCAGAGCGGGCCCUGGACCUCGCCAGCCAGGGGCUCAGCCCCAUGAGAGCCGCUGCAGGGCCAGCGAGAAGGGUGCCCCCGCGAGGACAGUCAUGGCGAGUCCUCCGCAAGGGCCUGCAGUCCCCUCUCCUGUGCUGUCGGGACCCGCUCCCAGGGAGGAAAGCGUUGGGGCCUGCAGCCGGAGCCCCCGACACGGACUCUGCCCCAGCAACGGCCAGGGUAGCGGCUCCCGUCGGGGCCCCCGGACGUGCGUGGCGGCCUCCUCCCCUUGCGGCACCCCCUCCUGGCGGCGGCGCCUCAGCCUGCAGCAUCGCUCCAUCUCCCCUGAGCCCUCCCGAGUCCCACAGGCUCUUCCUUGAUUGGUGAGAUGCCAGAAGCUUCUCUGGGGAGCAACCUCAGGGCAGGACAAUGAACCAGAGGCCAGGUCUGUCCCCAGGGUCCCAGGCGAGAGGACACAAGGGACCCAAGAGGGAGCGCACACCUCCUACCCUGGCUGUCUCGGCUGCUGUCUCCCACGUCCCCAGCAGACGGGCAGCACUGGGCGUGGGCUGCCCGCAGUGGCCGGGCUGCAGCACUCUUCUCCAGGGGCGCCUGGGGACGGCUUCAUGUUGAGACGCCCGCGUGGGACACCGCGCCGGGCUGUACAGAGAACACCUCCGUACUGCAGAAGGGUCCCCCACUAGCCCUGUGGACGACCAUCACAAGCUCGUCUGUCCUCCCGACCCACACACGGCCGUCUGUCCAACGGGAGUGAUGAUGACGCCCAGUUUUCAGGAGGCGGCCAUGAAGUGGUGGGCUGACAAACUGGGAGCAACAGCUCUGGAGGCAGGAGCUCAAGGUCAAGGUGGCAGCAGGCUGGCAAGGACCCCCUUUCUGGUCCUCAGAGGGCACCUCCUCACCAUGUGCUGACACCAUGGGAAGGGUGAGGAGCUCUCUGCGGUCUCUCUUACAAGGACACUGAUGCCCUCAGGGGGAUCCACACCUCACCUGCCAAAGGCCCCGCCUCCUAGCACCCCACCCCGGGCGUGGGGAGUCAAUGUGAACUGGGGGAGACCGUCUGCAGCAGCACGGCCUCUCCUUUCCGCCGGGUGCCUUCGCCAGGCACGCGCGCAUCUCCGCGGAGUCCUCAUCCUGCCGGCUGUCAGGAGCACGUCUGCUCGGUCGAGGGCCGAGGUGGGCUCGCCUGCAGCGCUCUCGCGGCCUGUCCUGCACUGAACUUCUCUCCGUCUGGGGUUCUUCCGAGUCCACAGCCACGGCUGCCUGACCCCCAUCAGGUCCAGGCUGGCGCGUCCCUCAUCCUCCAGCUGGCAGCCGACAGCAGAGGUGGUGCGGGACGCCUGAGGGCCAGCUCCCAGCCUGCAGCCCGUGCUGAGACGUCUCCCACCAGGCCUCCCCGGGUCCAACCACCUUUCCUCUUGAGUGACUUGACCCCAACAAGUGCUGGUCAACCCCAUUCCCUAAUGGCAACCAGCAAGCAGCCAUCUUGAAGGACUUCUUCAGGAUGGGUUACCAAAGACAGAUCUUAAAAGGCAAUCUCAAACUUCUCCCAAAGUCGCUGGGAGGGAACCCACUUUCAGAGGAGACUGCCCCAGCCCCCACGGUCAUGGGCCCCAGGGCUGAGCAGGACAGGAGCAGCGUUAUUUAUCCACUAAUUCAUUCUUGCUGUGACCACAGUUUCUCCAAAAUAAAUACUUCGAUGUAUUACCUAAGACAGACAUUUGGCUUUAUUCUUUUCCACAAAUUUAGACAAGAACAUCAUUGAUAUUCAGAGACUAGUACGUCGAUGGAGAUAUGAAAUAAAUCAAAGCAGGUUUGCAAUGGCUGUUGCCCGAGGAUUCUGAGACACGGGGCAUAAAGAAACACAGAUGCCAAGGCUGUGCCCGCCCUGAGCACAGAGGUAGCUGUUGUCUCGGCUGCCUUCUCCUUUAGUCUCAGAUCUUUUCUUUUUUUGCUGAGAAAGAUUCACCCUGAGCUAACAUCUGUGCCAAUCCUCUAUUUUGCACAUGGGACGCCACCACAGCACGGCUGAUGAGUGGAGUAGGUCUGUGCCCGGGACCUAAAGUCAUG
Molecule: long non-coding RNA, 2155 nt
Filed under: Equus caballus (horse)
Lineage: Eukaryota; Metazoa; Chordata; Mammalia; Perissodactyla; Equidae
Description: lncRNA (ENSECAG00000047554.1)
Source: RNAcentral